Ziziphus jujuba (common jujube) is the source of this 3244-nucleotide RNA transcript. It is a transcript of the gene named zinc finger CCCH domain-containing protein 5, with no coding region annotated. NCBI's taxonomy places the organism in Eukaryota, Viridiplantae, Streptophyta, Magnoliopsida, Rosales, Rhamnaceae. The record is from RefSeq and is a predicted model, not a curated record. The transcript is spliced from 10 exons.
GAAAUAAUUACUUUGAAAUUGGGAUAAUUGAAAGAAAAAAACAGAAAAGAAAGGCAUAUUUCGUUUCCCAGGAGAGUUGGAGAUUAUAGCAGAAAAAUUUGGGUGUAUAUUUUUUCCAUUCUCACAAAAGCCGAGGAAUUCCGUCGUGUAGCCCGAGUGACCAAUAACGAUGGCUGAGGAAAUUACAGGAAAAGAGAAGGAAGAGAAGAAUCAAUCGGAAACCGAGGGUUUAGGUAUGGAGAGUGGCACUUGUACGAUGAGCAGGAAGGAGAAGAGAAAGGCCUUGAAGAAGAUGAAGAGGAAGCAGAUAAGGAAAGACAUGGCCGUAAAAGAACGAGAGGAAGAAGAGGUCAAGCUUAACGAUCCACAGGAGCAGAUGAAGAUCGAAUUGAUGGAGCGAGAAGAAGCCGAGAGGGCCGAGAGGGAGAGGAAGGAGUUCGAAGAGCGAGAGAAGGCUUGGCUCGAAGCCAUGGAACUGAGAAAGAAGAAGAUGAUCGAAGAAGAAGAAGAAGAGGAGCGGCGAAGGAAGGCUUUCGAUGAAGAGUUACGGAGGCAACAGGCUGAAAAUGCAACCAAUGGUGACGAGGAUGAUGAUUGGGAGUAUGUUGAAGAAGGGCCUGCUGAGAUUAUCUGGCAAGGAAAUGAGAUUAUUGUCAAGAAGAAGAAGGUUAGGGUUCCAAAAAAGAGUAAAGACCAACAAAGCAGAAACGAGGAUGCUGAUAGGCCUACAUCAAAUCCUCUUCCUCCACAAUCUGAAGCUUUUGCAGAUUAUAAAAAUGGCUUGGUAUCUGCUCAGCACGCGAUUGAGAAUGUUGCUCAACAAUUACCAAAUUUUGGAACUGAACAGGAUAAAGCUCAUUGCCCUUUCCAUUUGAAAACUGGUGCUUGUCGGUUUGGUCAGCGUUGCAGUAGAGUUCAUUUCUACCCUGAUAAAGCAUGUACAAUACUUAUCAAGAACAUGUACAAUGGUCCAGGCCUUGCUUGGGAGCAGGAUGAGGGGCUUGAGUAUACUGAUGAGGAGAUUGAACGCAGUUAUGAAGAAUUUUAUGAGGAUGUGCAUACAGAGUUCUUGAAAUUUGGGGAAAUUGUGAAUUUCAAGGGUAAUGAAUCUAAUCUGUAUCAGGUGUGUAGAAAUGGAUCCUUCCACUUGCGGGGAAAUGUGUACAUCCAGUACAAAUGUUUGGAUUCAGCUGUGCUUGCAUAUCAUUCUAUCAAUGGUCGUUACUUUGCUGGGAAGCAGGUAAUUUGUGAAUUUGUCAAUUUGACCAGAUGGAAGGUUGCCAUUUGUGGGGAGUAUAUGAAGUCAAGGUUCAAAACAUGUUCCCAUGGAACUGCUUGCAAUUUCAUUCACUGCUUCCGUAAUCCUGGCGGGGACUAUGAAUGGGCUGAUGGUGACAAACCACCACCAAAGUAUUGGGUGCAAAGGAUGGUUGCUUUAUUUGGUUAUUCUGAAGAUUCUGUGUAUGAUAGAGAGAAGUCACAAGAAAAUUUUGGCAAGAUGUCGGCGGCAGAGGCAGGCAGGUAUCGUUCAAGAAGAUCUAGAUCCAGAGAGAUGGAUUCCACAAAUUAUGGUACUUCUCGUAGAAGAAAUGACAAUGAAAAUUAUGUUCGUUCGAACCGCCAGAGCUGCAAAAGUGAUUAUAAAGAGCAGAACAAAAAUGACGGCUUAUGCAAACAGAGUAUGAACUCAAAAGAUGAUCAUUAUAGGAAGAGAAAAAACCAUGAUAUGGAUAUUGAUGGAGAAAUGUUUGAUAAUGUUAGAGAUACAGACAGAGAUGAGUAUCAUGUUUGCGCAAGGAAUAGUUCAAGAUGGCAGGGCAGGAACAGCAAAAACAGAUCUUUUGAAACUGAUUCUGAUGGAGGUUGGUCGGAUGUGGAUGAAGUUAGAGAUAGAAACCGUGAUCAUGCUAGGCAAAGCCCAAAAUAUAGUAGGAUAGCAAGAUAUCUUGAUGAUUAUGGAGAACAUGAGAACAGAAAUGAUGAAGUUGACAGUCAUUCGGAUGAGGGCAGGGGAGAGUCAUACCAUGACAGAACAAGAAAAAGUUCAAGACGCUGCAGAAAAGUUGAAUAUCCUGCUAGUUAUGGGGACAAGGCGAAUAGGGAUCAUGGUGCUGAAGGAGGCUGGUCACGUAUGGACAGUGAUGAUGAUGCUCAUAGGCGCCGUAGUAAGAGGACCAGGGAUGAUGAUGCUGAUAGGCACCAUAGUAAAAGGAGGAAAAGCUCAGUACAGUCCAGCAAAGUUUCCAAGUUCUCUGAUGAACAUGGGGACAGCAAAGACAGGAUUCUUGGUACUGAUUUUGGUGAUGACUGGUUGGACAAGAGUACAGAAAGACAUCAUAGUCACACAAGGGGAUUCCCAAAAGAAGGGUCAGAUAUCUCAGAAGAUCAGGUGGAACCUACCAGAAGGAUUAAAGCUGAGCGGCGUCAUAUGAGUGUAGAGAUUAGCAAAGCAGAUCCUUCUAAUGAGAACUUUAGAUCAGAUUGGAGUUGUGAGCCCAGCAGUUCAGAUCAAUAUGAUAUGAGAGACAGCCCACAUGAUCUUGAUUUCAGACACAACUCUGAGGUAAAAUUUGAUAAACAAGAUCGGUGGGAAUCUGAACAAUGUGCUGGUGAUGUGUACUCUAAAUCUAGAGGGAAGUUUACUAGUUUUAACGGUUCGGUUCAUUACAGUGGAAGAGAGAGAUCAUAUGAUUGUGACUCAGAGCGCUACCAUCAUGAUAAACUUGACCUUGAAGACCGCUGGAAUUCUGAAGAAGUUGCUUCAAAAAAGUCUAGUAAUUUGGAUUCCUCUAGUAAGCGAUCUUCCAAGAUUGAUAGAGCAAGAAGAUCAAAAAGUAGAAGCCAAUCAGGCCAUAAUAGAUGCUCGGAUAAUGAGGGAGAUUCAUCCCAAGACAACAAAGAUUCUGAAAAGAAUUGUUAGAAGAAUUGAACAUAUCAUAAAAGACAACACAAAAGGCACUCAUUUAGUGUCUCUGAAAGAGUCACAUUGUGGAGUAGAUCUGAACAUGAAGAAUGUACUUGAACUACUACUAUCAUUUUGCCUGCAAUGAUUAUGGUGUCCCUUUCCCCCGUCUGGAAUUCAAUGGAAAGCUGGCUUUAAGGUUGAUGCAUUUUAUUGUUAUUGUUAUUGUUAUUAUUGUUAUAUUUUCUCUUGUUUAUGUUGAGGCAUCUGCAUUUCUUUGUAUAUCUUGCCUAAAGAUUCGAAUACUCGUCUUUGCUAUGUCAGUUGCGAUGCAUUCCACAA